UGAUGGCGACCGGCGCACGGGUGCGUAACGCGUAUGCAACCUACCUUUUACAGGGGCAUAACACUGAGAAAUUGGUACUAAUUCCCCAUAAUAUCUGAGACGGCAUCGGUUUUGGGUUGAAAACUCCGGUGGUAAAAGAUGGGCAUGCGUUGUAUUAGCUAGUUGGUGAGGUAACGGCUCACCAAGGCGACGAUACAUAGGGGGACUGAGAGGUUAAACCCCCCCACAUUGGUACUGAGACACGGACCAAACUCCUACGGGAGGCAGCAG
This 270-nucleotide ribosomal RNA is filed under the name uncultured bacterium. RNAcentral's name for it is "partial 16S ribosomal RNA". It matches the Rfam family "Bacterial small subunit ribosomal RNA", at positions 86 to 354 of the family's 1533-position model. The record is from RNAcentral.